This 2421-nucleotide long non-coding RNA is filed under the name Sus scrofa (pig). RNAcentral describes it as "lncRNA (ENSSSCG00000059024.1, ENSSSCG00105001839.1, ENSSSCG00130031222.1, ENSSSCG00180038449.1)". The record is from RNAcentral. Lineage: Eukaryota; Metazoa; Chordata; Mammalia; Artiodactyla; Suidae.
CGAAUACAUUAGCAUUCUAAAUAUUCCUUAACCACUAAAGUAAUUGCAUCAAAAGUUAAAAAUCUCACAAGAUAACAGCAGUUCUGAUGGGUCCUGAUAAAUUUCACUAUGCUUUUAAGAAAGAAUAUUCUAGUCUUAUAUAAACACUUCUAGAGAAUAGGAAAAAAAAAGACGGUCGUUAGGUAAUUUUUACAAAAAAGGAGACAAUUAUGAAACAGACUUGCUUUAUGAAUAGAGAUGCAAAAUGCUCAAAGUAAAUAUUUUAAAAUCUAAUCCAGUGAUGAACAAAAAAGAUAUUACAACAUGAGUAAGUUGGUUUCAUAACAGGAAUGCCAAGUUAGUUUAAUUUGGAAAGUUGCUUAAAUAUAAUUUAAUCUAACAUUUGCAUUAACAGAUUAAAGGAGAAAAUUCACAUAAUCAUCUAAAUAAAUGCAUUUAAUAUAACUUAACCUUUGUGUAUGAUAAAAACUUUCAAUACUAGGAACAGAAGAGGACUUUAAAAAUCUAAUAAAAGGCACUCAAAAGAAAAAAGUCAUACUUAAAGGUGAUGUGUAAAGCAUUCUUUAUAGCAACAUUACAAGGAUGUCCAUUAUCAUUAGCACUGUAGAUUUUAGCUCCCAUAUAAAGGCAAAGAGAAGAAAUAGUAGGUAAUAAGGCCUGGAGAGGAACAAACAAAAGUUUUACUGUUUGUUGAGAAUGAUUAUUUAUUUAAAAGAUAUCCUAAGAGGAGUUCCCGCUGUGGCUCAGUGGAACAAAUCUGACUAGUAUCCAUCAGGAUGUGGGUUCAAUCUUUGGCCUUGUUCAGUGGGUUAAAGAUCUGGUGUUGCCAUGAGCUGUGGUAUAGGUCACGGACGUUGCUUGGAUCCUGUGUUGCUGUGGCUGUGGUGUAGGCUGGCAGCUGCAACUUCAAUUCGACCCCUGGCCUGAGAACUUCCAUAUGCCAUGAGUGCAGCUAUAAAUAUCAAAAAGAAAAAAGAAAGAAAGAAAAGAGAAAAGACAUAAAUUAAGCCAAAGAUUAGUCAAAGUGACCAAUGGAACAUGAUAGUGGGUCCAGAAGUUGACUUACACACAUAUUACAACACACUUUAAGACCAAUUGGAUGUUGAAAAACAAUGGUAAAGGAGAAUCUAUUCAAUAGACAAUUCAAGAACCCUUAACAACAGAAGGAAAAAAAAUUAGAUCCUUAUUUCAAAUUCUACACAGAAAUCAAAUUUGAGUGCAAGUGGACCCAAAGGCCUAAAUGUAAAAAACAAACUUUAAAACAAAGUUAUAGAAGUAUUUAUUAAACAGGACAAAAAGAAGAAUUAAGAAUUUCUGUUCAUCAAAGCACCAGAAAAAUAAACUGCAAAUGGGAGAAGACAUGUGCAAUACACAUAGCCAACAGAGAAUGAGUAUCCAGACAUAUGACAAAAUUGAAUCAUAAAUGUACUAAAUACAUGUGAAAAUAUAUUUAUUACUAUAUUAGUUAUUUAGAAAAUACAAAUUAAAAUUUUAAGAUGCUAUUUCACACCUAUCAGAUGGCAAAACUUAAAAAAAAAGUGGGAGGUGGGCAAUACCAAGUGUCAGAUAAAUAGCAGAGCAAUGAAAAUUUUUAUUUCCUGGUGGUAGGAGUAUAAUUUGAUAGAAUGAUUUUGUACAACAGACUGAAUUUACCAUAUAAUAGUUGAUCCCAUACAGACUACGAUCUUGCAAUUCCUAUGUAAAACUACAUUAUAGUACUUCUCAAACUAUCCACUGAACAGUCAUUUGUAUAUUUUAAAAUUUCAAAUCUGUCACAGAUUAAUACUGUGUAAAAUUCAAUAAAAAUGAGUUAUGAGGUAACUGGUCCUGUAUUUGGAUGAAAGUCAUGUGCUAUGAGAGUUUUUAAACAUUCUUAAUUUCUAGAUUUAUUCUGUCACAGACCAGAGACAAGUUGCAGAUCAGUAAUGGUCCAUGGAAAAUUUAGGAGAGCAUUAUGUUCAGUGAUAAUGGAAAUGUAUAUCUGAGCUUGAAAGACUAAAAUCAAAGUGUUCUGACCACAAUGGAAAGUUUUAAGAAACCCAGAGCAGAAGAAAAUUUGUAAAAUUCACAAAUAUGUGGAAAUCAAAUAACACACUUCUAAAUAAUCUAUAGGUCAAAAAGGAACUCACAAGAAAAAUUAGAAAAUACUUGAAGAUAAAGAUAAUGAGAAAGCAUAACAUGAAAACAUAUGUAGUGAAAGUAGUGUUAAGAGGAAAACUUAUAGCUAUAAAUGCCCACUUUAGAAAAGAGAAAAAAAGACCACAAAUUAAUAACAUAAGCUUCACUUUAUGAGGCUAGAAAAAGUAAACUAAAUCCAAAGCAUAAAGAAAGGAAUAAAGAUUAAAGCAGAGAUAAAGAAGAGGAAAGUAAAAGAGAAAAACUAAUAAAACCAAAAGGUGGUUAUCUGAAAAGAUCAACAAA